Molecule: ribosomal RNA, 253 nt
Filed under: uncultured bacterium
Lineage: Bacteria
Description: partial 16S ribosomal RNA
Rfam family: Bacterial small subunit ribosomal RNA
Source: RNAcentral
GACAGAGGGUGCAAGCGUUGUUCGGAAUCAUUGGGCGUAAAGCGCACGUAGGCGGUUUUGUAAGUCGGAUGUGAAAGCCCUGGGCUUAACCCAGGAAGUGCAUCCGAUACUGCAUAACUUGAGUCCCGGAGAGGGUGGUGGAAUUCCUGGUGUAGAGGUGAAAUUCGUAGAUAUCAGGAGGAACACCGGUGGCGAAGGCGACCACCUGGACGGAGACUGACGCUGAGGUGCGAAAGCGUGGGGAGCAAACAGG